This 226-nucleotide ribosomal RNA is filed under the name uncultured bacterium. RNAcentral describes it as "partial 16S ribosomal RNA". It matches the Rfam family "Bacterial small subunit ribosomal RNA", at positions 524 to 748 of the family's 1533-position model. The record is from RNAcentral.
GACGAACCGUGCGAACGUUAUUCGGAAUCACUGGGCUUAAAGCGCGUGUAGGCGGGACGGCACGUCGGUCGCUGAAAUCCCCCGGCUCAACCGGGGAAGUGGCGCCGAUACGACCGCCCUGGAGGGACGUAGGGGGGGCUGGAACUUCCGGUGGAGCGGUGAAAUGCGUUGAGAUCGGAAGGAACGCCCGUGGCGAAAGCGAGCCCCUGGACGUCUACUGACGCUG